RNAcentral lists this long non-coding RNA (524 nucleotides) under Heterocephalus glaber (naked mole-rat). RNAcentral describes it as "lncRNA (ENSHGLG00100039359.1)". Lineage: Eukaryota; Metazoa; Chordata; Mammalia; Rodentia; Bathyergidae. The record is from RNAcentral.
UUUCACAAUUCAGGACUUGUCUUCAACUCCAUGGACUUGGAAACUUAAGUUUAUCAGGCUACCGAGAAUAGAUGUUGGGUCAGAAAUCAAAUUUAUAAGAGAAGCUGAGUACUAUGAGUGAUAGGUCUUUCAAUGACCAAAGUAUGCAUGUCUGCUCUUCUUCACAGCAUCUUCGUCACAGCAUCAAGAUACAAGGAAAUUUUAUUUUAUUUUAUUUUUUAAGAGUAAGAAGAUUUAUUGAGCUAGCUUCUGUCUAUGAGAGACAGAAGGGUAACUGGAAAUGUUGGAGAUUGAACUCAGGAACUCUCUGAGAGUGCUCACUGAGCUACAUCCCCAGCACCUUGUAUUUUUGGGGACCGGCUAUCACUAAAUUGCCCUGGCUGGCUUUAAACUUGGGAUCCUUCUCCCUCAGCCUUUGAACUGACUGGGUUUAGAGGCUUGUACCACUGUGCCUGGUUCAAUCUGCUUUCUUUAUACUUUUUUUCUUGAGUGCUGGGGAUGGAACCAGACCUGGUGCAUGUUAG